Phyllopteryx taeniolatus (common seadragon) is the source of this 5409-nucleotide long non-coding RNA. RefSeq lists it as uncharacterized. The transcript is spliced from 3 exons. The record is from RefSeq and is a predicted model, not a curated record. NCBI's taxonomy places the organism in Eukaryota, Metazoa, Chordata, Actinopteri, Syngnathiformes, Syngnathidae.
GUUCCUGGGGGUGGGGGGAGAGAAAACAACUGUCAUCACCUAAAAGGUUCCCCACACCCCUGAGGUUGAGGGAAGACCCCAGGAUACAGAAACCAAGGGACCACCGGGGCUGGCCGCAGCACAAAGAGUGACACCCUGAGCUCGGGAAAUGGAAUCUGCGAUUAGCAUACCCCGUGAGGAUCCCGCCCCAAUCCCAGCAGUCCUCCAACAUACCAGUCCCAGUGUCGCCCUUCAGAGACCUGAUUCGAGAAUCCAGGACGGCCGUGUCCUGCUUCCAGGGGAGCAAAUGAGGACCAAGGACCGAGCACCGUGCACUUGUGACGGGCUGCUGGCUUUGUUAUGCGAAGAUAACAAGAUCCAAAGCGGGACAUUGGGAGAAAUCCUCUCAGCAGGACGGAGCGCAAAAUGGGGAAAAAAAUACAGAAAGCUCAUUAAAAUUGUUUCCACUGGCAGGUUAAUUGAGGGCUCGGAAAGUUUGGGACAAACUAACAAAGCCGAGGAGAAGUCACAACAAAGACUCUCAAGCCACAUUUACACCUAAACUCACUGCAACUUUUUUGUUCUUGGGGCUUUUACUUCCUGAAACUACAAACAAAUUAACCCAUUUCCUACACAAGUACACAAGGAUCCUCUAAAAGUUACUGAUUCUGGCCAAAACACGCUAUUGAGCCGCAUCUCCAGCUACAGUUCCAAGAAGUUUUAACCCCACCCCAAAGGUUCCUGGACCCACAAAAUGCCAGUUUAAGCUACAUUUCUACCUAGUUCCAGGGAUCUUUAAUAGUUGGAUUUCUGAGAACUAAUUUCUCAUGGUCUUCUUUUGUCCCCAAUAAAUUAAUUCCAGGAACUACAAGUACCAAGAACUAAAAGUAUAAGGUUCCUGGACAUCUUAAAAAUAUUACCCCCCUAAAUGGUCUUCUUUAGGCCCUGAAAAGUUAGUAUCAGGAACUACAAGUAUAAAGAAAUAAACCAUAAAAAUAUAUAGACUCACCUUGUGGCUUGGCAUCACGCAGCAAUUUUCCAUCUGAAAACCCAGAAACAUCAACCGUUUGCAUCUUGAUCUAUGUGUAAUGGUCCUAUACAAAGCUGCUGACGAUUGCCUCUGCUUUCUGUUCACAUUUUCACAUUCACUUUUGAGUAGAUAUAAUUUAUUCAUGUAUAGUUGUCACGCUGGUUUGUUUGCGUCAUACAACUUUGUUGACCAUUGCCGCUUCUGUUCACAUUCACUGUUGUACAUAUGGUAAGUACUUAUUCAUAUGUAGUUGUUGUAUUACUGCUGUCUUUUUCAUUCUCAAAUACCUACUAUUGAUAGAGUGUUUAUUUUGAUGUAUAGUUUUUGCUACAUACAGUACAACACUGCUGACUAUUCUUAUACACUUCUUUAUACAUACAGUAGUAACUCUCACUUUGCGUGCAGAGGUCUCCGGUGCAGUUGUCGGUAGCCAGCGCCACACCAUCACACAGCCGCCCGCCGUGCUUGGGCUGGGGCGCCGUGCACUCGCGGCUCCGUCUCCUCUCACAGUCGCCACCGCACGCCGACCACUCGGUCCACGCGCCCCAGCCGCCAUCCACUGGCCGGAUCACAAGUGCGGCAACAGGCGUGGUUAUGCUAAACCAACGCCGCAUCGGUGUCGACGUCACGUCACGGUCUGCUUACCCGGGCACGGCGCCAUGCAGGCGCUCUUCUGCACCGACGCGCCGUCGCAGAAGGAGCCGCCGUUGAGCGGCGCCGGGUUGGUGCACGUGCGGGAGCGCUUGUGGACGCCGCGGCCGCAGCAGUUCAUUGGGAAGACAACGAUGGUGAUCAACAGCGGCAACUGUCACGUUUCUCCGUGAUUUGCGGCCACCAAAGCGACACGGCAGCUCAUUGGCUUUCAUCAGACGGGACGAACGAGUCGUCAGGCCGUCAUGAACAUUAUGGAAAUGUGUGAUUGAUGGGCCUUUGCAAAUUAAUUCCUCUGGUGGCUCCGCGGACUGUCUCCGUCGACUAAAUCACACAGAAAAGCAAUAAAACACAAAUUACCUAGAAACAAAUCUUAAAAAAAAAAAAAAAAGUAUAGUUGAGUGAGGGCUUUAUUAACUUACCGUACACGGCGACAGCAGCCGUGGCGCUGCGCCGCUUGGCCACGAUGUUGCUAGCGACACAGGUGUAGUUUCCUGAAUCGGAGAGGUGCGCCUGAGAGAUGACCAGAUGGUGAUCGCCUUUGGUGUCGCCACUGCCGGCGCUCAAAAGCUCAUCGUUUUUCAGCCAUUCCACCUGAAAAAUACAGAGUUUCAGCUUUAAUGUGGAGUUAUCAAACUUCUCUGCCAUGCUCUGCCCACAUGCGAACCAAAACUCAAAUCCUUGGGAAUUUAGCAUCUCCUAUCUGUACAGUAUAUGUGCCUUAAAUUUGGUCGCAAUCAGACAAAAAGUUUGUAAACAAGAUAUGGAAUGUUUGAAAUAAUCCUAAAAUGUAUAAUUCAAAUAUCAAUGGGAGCCUUUCUGUGUCUUUUCAGGCAUCGCUUCUUGAGACUUUUUUGCGCGUCUUCUCACGAUAGACGUCUACCAAAUUUCAUGUGCCUCAGCGUAAGGUUUUGAGUUUGUUUAGUUGACUUAUUCCAGUUUCGUGUAUUAUAGCGAUUUAUCUGAUUUCGCCCCCAUGCUGCUCCUACGCGCAGUGACAAAAACGCAAAUUUUGUGUCGCACAUUUGUGUAGUAUACAUGUAUUAUAUCUGGCAGUGAUUGGACAAAAAUCUGUCGGAGUUUGUCUUUCAAGGACCCCUGGAAAUGAGGCUAAAAAGGAAGCUUCUAACCAAAAUGGCAGACUUCCUGUGUCUUUUCAGGGAUGACUUUUUGAGACUGUUUUGUGGGUCUACCAGGGAUAGACGUGUAUUCAAUUUCCUGUUGCUAUGUACAACUGUCUUCAGGGACUGACGCUUCGAGUUCCAGAGAGCACCACCUGGCCAAUAUUUGGACGUUAUACACACAUCCUCAAUCAAAUGUAAAUUUGCCCCACUUUUCGAGUUUAAGAAAGCCCUCAAAUGGCGAUUUCUUUGGCACUUUCUCAGUCCCGUGCUCGAGCCCUGAUGAAGGACGCUUCGUUGACACUGGUCUCCGCGCUUGAGCGCUGCUGUAAAUUGACUUCAACGUCAGGAGCUUUUCAUCCGCGGGGAGCGCUCCAUGAUUCACGCCGCUCUAUUUGAGGAUUAAAAACUCCGUCCCACUGGGAAAGCCGUGUGUUUGUACGCCGACGUGUGUCGGUAUGUGUUUGAGCACGGCGUGUGUGUGUUUGUGUGUUUGGCAUCCAGUCGCUGAGGGAUUAGCACAGCAGCAAACAAACUCUGUGAUUGCUUUGCUCUUUCCAAGCAACCCCGGUUGAAAGCCGGAAAAUAACGGAACAUCGGGAAAUCAAUACAUCAGGAAUCACCUCAUCACGAACGCUGUUUUCAUGUUUUUGCCUGCGCACUCUUUGACGAGUCUUCCAUCAUGCAUUUAGUGCACCCGCCAGUGGGCCGCGUCACUCGCUCCGCUGAGUUCAUCUGCUACGUUUGUCUUCGCUGAUUUUUUUCCUGCCUGGCAGUGUGAUCAAGCUCCGUGCCGCUGAACGUGCUCUACUCGAUUAUUAUUCGACCUGCACAAUUAUGGCCACAGCGGGUUUCUACCUCCUGUUGAAAAGUCUUGGGUUGCUACAAUACAAAGAAGAAAGGAGCACGAGCACAUUAUGUUGAGCGUUGCCACGGAGACGAAGGUCAACAGCUUUUGCUGCAGAGAGAAUGUAACCACGGGAACAGAGCGGCAGUUUGUGUGACGAUAAAAAGGCUCACUUUUUAAACGACAGGUAAUAUCGGCAACUAAUAUUGGCAAUUAUGCUCAGAGGACUCAAGCGCAACCAAGGGACAAAGCGUGUGUCUUUUGAGGGCGGGGGGUCUCAUUACUUUUUUCAUUCAAUAUUCAUCACUGCAGAAUUGUCUGACUUUUCCGGCAAGAACAUUUACAGGUUAGAUCAGCGAGUAGUGUGGCAAUAAAAAAGCUGGCUUUAAACGGAAUUUAAUAUCCGCAAUCGUUCUCAGAGUACUCAAACAUAAUCGUAGGACAAAAAGUUCGUCUUUUUCAGGACGGACGUGCUGUUACCUUUCUCACUUCUAAUAAUUUUCAGUUUGGAAAUGUCAGAUUUUUCCGCAAGAGCAUCGACUCAAACUGCAAUUGUGUCAUCAUAUACGCUGCUCACAGCCACAAUGUUAGCAUGUGCUAAUAUUUAUGAGAAAGUGCUCAUGUGAAAUGUAUUGUUUGCCUGUGACAACGUGUUAGCGAGUGUUCUAUGUACUAAUAUGUCUUCGCAUGAGCUAAUGUGUGUCAGCAUAUACUAGAAUGUCUUAUAUGUCUUUAUUUGCCUGUGCCAGCAUGUGCUAAUAUUUAGUAAUUUGCAUGCACAAGAGUGUGUUAGCAUGUGAUAGCAUGUGCUAAUAUGUGUUAACAUGUGCUAUUAAUUAUGACAAGGUGCUACCAUAUAUUAAUGUGUCUCUGCCAGCAUGUGAUAUGUGCUAGAGAGUGUUAUCAUGUGGAAGCCUGUGAGAAUGUGUGAUAAUGUGUUAACUGUAUUAAUUUGCCUUUGCCAGCAUGCGUUAAAAUGUGUUAGUGAGUGUUAAUAUAUGCUAAAAUGUGUUAGCAAUGUGCUAAUUAAUAUCAGAUUUUUCUAACGUGUUAGUAUGUCCCGGCAUUUGCAUGUGGUAGCAUGUGUUACAUGUGCUAAUAUGUAUUAGCAUGUGAUAAUGUGUGCCAGUAUGCUAGGUCUUAGUACAUAUUAAUUUGCUUGUGCCAGAAUGUGAUAGCAUGUGCUAACAUGUGUUAGCAUGUGCUAAUGCGUAUUAAUUUGAGGUGAGGAUAAGCAGUUCAGAGAAUAACUGGAUCAAUGGAUGGAUGUGUGUGAGCAUAGCCUAGUAGCAAGUAGUAGCGUGGCAGCGUGUUAGCGCUGCACUGAUGCAUUGUUGUCAUCAGCGUGUUGGUUCAUCGAUGCGUGUGACAAAGAGGAGAGUGCUAGUAAAUAAUCUAUAAAGUCAAGUAAAUCCCAGCAGCAGCAGUAGCAGGAAAAGGCUUGUGUGCACAUUUGGGAAGCUUCUCUUCUCUUUUUCAUGACGUGAGGUUGGAAAGGUUACGCCCGCUCCCCCACCCUCCUUGACCACAGCUUUUAGCAUUUGACGUCACACCGCCACUAGAGAGCUAGAUGUAAGAAUUGGCUUCAUGCUUAGGAUCCACAGACAAGGAUUUUAAUUAUAUUUUCACUAUACAGGGCAAGCUGUUAGCAUAAGCAUCACAUUUAGAUUUCCGAAGACCAUAUUGAUGUCUAUAUUUUUACCAUACAGGGGUAGAUGUUAGCAUGAGCAUCAUAUUUGUGGCCCAAUGACAAGUUUUUGAUUACUUUUUUUUUUUUUUUU